UGGGGAAUUUUGCACAAUGGGGGAAACCCUGAUGCAGCGACGCCGCGUGAUUUAGAAGGCCUUCGGGUUGUAAAAAUCUUUUCUAUGGGAAGAAAAUGACAGUACCAUAGGAAUAAGGACCGGCUAAUUACGUGCCAGCAGCCGCGGUAAUACGUAAGGUCCGAGCGUUGUCCGGAAUCAUUGGGCGUAAAGGGUACGUAGGCGGGUAAGCAAGUUAGAAGUGAAAUCCUAUAGCUCAACUAUAGUAAGCUUUUAAAACUGAUCAUCUUGAGGUAUGGAAGGGAAAGUGGAAUUCCUAGUGUAGCGGUGAAAUGCGCAGAUAUUAGGAGGAAUACCGGUGGCGAAGGCGACUUUCUGGCCAUAACCUGACGCUGAGGUACGAAAGCGUGGGUAGCAAACAGG
RNAcentral lists this ribosomal RNA (402 nucleotides) under bacterium. RNAcentral describes it as "partial 16S ribosomal RNA". It matches the Rfam family "Bacterial small subunit ribosomal RNA", at positions 355 to 776 of the family's 1533-position model. The record is from RNAcentral.